This 193-nucleotide ribosomal RNA is filed under the name Scutellospora sp. SA4/SE1/SE3. RNAcentral's name for it is "partial small subunit ribosomal RNA". It matches the Rfam family "Eukaryotic small subunit ribosomal RNA", at positions 34 to 228 of the family's 1831-position model. The record is from RNAcentral. Lineage: Eukaryota; Fungi; Glomeromycota; Glomeromycetes; Diversisporales; Gigasporaceae.
GUCUCAAAGAUUAAGCCAUGCAUGUCUAAGUAUAAUCGUUAUGCAGGUGAAACUGCGAAUGGCUCAUUAAAUCAGUUAUAAUUUAUUUGAUAGUACAAUUACUACUUGGAUAACCGUGGUAAUUCUAGAGCUAAUACAUGCUAAAAGUCUCGACUUCUGGAAGGGACGUAUUUAUUAGAUAAAAACCAAUAAC